Molecule: ribosomal RNA, 1345 nt
Filed under: metagenome
Description: bacterial LSU rRNA
Rfam family: Bacterial large subunit ribosomal RNA
Source: RNAcentral
UGAAUACGAGACGCUAAGGCGUCGAAGUAGUGUAAGUCAUACUUCCAAGAAAAGCUUGCACUGUCAUAAGUAAAAAAUGCCUGUACCAUAACCGACACAGGUGGGUAGGUAGAGUAUACUAAGGGGCGCGAGAUAACUCUCUCUAAGGAACUCGGCAAAAUAACUCCGUAACUUCGGGAGAAGGAGUACCUUAUUCUAUAAGGUUGCAAUAACAAGAUCCAAGCAACUGUUUAUCAAAAACACAGGUCUCCGCUAAGUCGUAAGACGAUGUAUGGGGGCUGACGCCUGCCCAGUGCCAGAAGGUUAAAGAAGUCGGUUAGCAUUAGCGAAGCUGGUAACUGAAGCCCUGGUGAACGGCGGCCGUAACGAUAACGGUCCUAAGGUAGCGAAAUUCCUUGUCGGGUAAGUUCCGACCCGCACGAAAGGCGUAAUGAUUUGGAUACUGUCUCGGAGAGGGGCUCGGUGAAAUAGACUUGUCUGUGAAGAUGCGGACUACCUGCACCGGGACAGAAAGACCCUAUGAAGCUUUACUGUAACUUGAAAUUGAAAUUGGACUUUAUUCGCGCAGUAUAGGUGGGAGGUGUUGAUUAUAAUCUUGCGGGAUUAUUGGAGCCAUCAGUGAGAUACCACUCUUGUAAUGUUAGAUUUCUAACUUUGAAUCAUUAUCUGGUCAAAGGACAGUUUCAGGCGGGCAGUUUGACUGGGGCGGUCGCCUCCCAAACGGUAACGGAGGCGUACAAAGGUUUCCUCUGAACGGGUAGAAAUCGUAUCUAGAGUGUAAAGGCAUAAGGAAGCUUGACUGUGAGACCUACAAGUCGAACAGGGACGAAAGUCGGUCUUAGUGAUCUGACGGUACUGAGUGGAAAGGCCGUCACUCAACGGAUAAAAGUUACUCUAAGGAUAACAGGCUGAUCUCCCCCAAGAGUUCACAUCGACGGGGAGGUUUAGCACCUCGAUGUCGGCUCAUCGCAUCCUGGGGCGGUAGUACGUCCCAAGGGUUGGGCUGUUCGCCCAUGAAAGCGGUACGCGAGCUGGGUUCAGAACGUCGUGAGACAGUUCGGUCCAUAUCCGGUGUAGGCGUUAGAAUAUUGAGAGGAGCCUUCUUUAGUACGAGAGGACCGAGAAGGACAUACCUCUGGUGUACCAGUUAUCGUGCCAACGGUAAACGCUGGGUAGCUAUGUAUGGAGUGGAUAACCGCUGAAAGCAUCUAAGUGGGAAGCCCACCUCAAGAUGAGUGCUCUCACAGGGUUAACCUGGUAAGGUCACGGGAAGACCACCCGCUAAUAGGCACUAGGUGGAAGUCCAGUAAUGGAUGGAGCCAAGGUGUACUAACAGACCGAGGGC